GGUUAAGCGACUAAGCGUACACGGUGGAUGCCCUGGCAGUCAGAGGCGAUGAAGGACGUGCUAAUCUGCGAUAAGCGUCGGUAAGGUGAUAUGAACCGUUAUAACCGGCGAUUUCCGAAUGGGGAAACCCAGUGUGUUUCGACACACUAUCAUUAACUGAAUCCAUAGGUUAAUGAGGCGAACCGGGGGAACUGAAACAUCUAAGUACCCCGAGGAAAAGAAAUCAACCGAGAUUCCCCCAGUAGCGGCGAGCGAACGGGGAGGAGCCCAGAGCCUGAAUCAGUGUGUGUGUUAGUGGAAGCGUCUGGAAAGGCGCGCGAUACAGGGUGACAGCCCCGUACACAAAAAUGCACAUGCUGUGAGCUCGAUGAGUAGGGCGGGACACGUGGUAUCCUGUCUGAAUAUGGGGGGACCAUCCUCCAAGGCUAAAUACUCCUGACUGACCGAUAGUGAACCAGUACCGUGAGGGAAAGGCGAAAAGAACCCCGGCGAGGGGAGUGAAAAAGAACCUGAAACCGUGUACGUACAAGCAGUGGGAGCCUCUUUUAUGGGGUGACUGCGUACCUUUUGUAUAAUGGGUCAGCGACUUAUAUUCUGUAGCAAGGUUAACCGAAUAGGGGAGCCGAAGGGAAACCGAGUCUUAACUGGGCGUUAAGUUGCAGGGUAUAGACCCGAAACCCGGUGAUCUAGCCAUGGGCAGGUUGAAGGUUGGGUAACACUAACUGGAGGACCGAACCGACUAAUGUUGAAAAAUUAGCGGAUGACUUGUGGCUGGGGGUGAAAGGCCAAUCAAACCGGGAGAUAGCUGGUUCUCCCCGAAAGCUAUUUAGGUAGCGCCUCGUGAAUUCAUCUCCGGGGGUAGAGCACUGUUUCGGCAAGGGGGUCAUCCCGACUUACCAACCCGAUGCAAACUGCGAAUACCGGAGAAUGUUAUCACGGGAGACACACGGCGGGUGCUAACGUCCGUCGUGAAGAGGGAAACAACCCAGACCGCCAGCUAAGGUCCCAAAGUCAUGGUUAAGUGGGAAACGAUGUGGGAAGGCCCAGACAGCCAGGAUGUUGGCUUAGAAGCAGCCAUCAUUUAAAGAAAGCGUAAUAGCUCACUGGUCGAGUCGGCCUGCGCGGAAGAUGUAACGGGGCUAAACCAUGCACCGAAGCUGCGGCAGCGACGCUUAUGCGUUGUUGGGUAGGGGAGCGUUCUGUAAGCCUG
RNAcentral lists this ribosomal RNA (1210 nucleotides) under Escherichia coli. RNAcentral describes it as "partial 23S ribosomal RNA". It matches the Rfam family "Bacterial large subunit ribosomal RNA", at positions 1 to 1251 of the family's 2925-position model. Lineage: Bacteria; Pseudomonadati; Pseudomonadota; Gammaproteobacteria; Enterobacterales; Enterobacteriaceae. The record is from RNAcentral.